UACGUAGGUGGCGAGCGUUGUCCGGAUUUACUGGGCGUAAAGGGAGCGUAGGCGGACUUUUAAGUGAGAUGUGAAAUACUCGGGCUCAACUUGAGUGCUGCAUUUCAAACUGGAAGUCUAGAGUGCAGGAGAGGAGAAUGGAAUUCCUAGUGUAGCGGUGAAAUGCGUAGAGAUUAGGAAGAACAACAGUGGCGAAGGCGAUUCUCUGGACUGUAACUGACGCUGAGGCUCGAAAGCGUGGGGAGCAAACAGG
RNAcentral lists this ribosomal RNA (253 nucleotides) under uncultured bacterium. Its description in RNAcentral is "partial 16S ribosomal RNA". It matches the Rfam family "Bacterial small subunit ribosomal RNA", at positions 524 to 776 of the family's 1533-position model. The record is from RNAcentral.